AAGAGAUUUACAUGCGUAACUCC
Molecule: microRNA, 23 nt
Filed under: Gallus gallus (chicken)
Lineage: Eukaryota; Metazoa; Chordata; Aves; Galliformes; Phasianidae
Description: gga-miR-7473-5p
Source: miRBase by way of RNAcentral